RNAcentral lists this small nuclear RNA (341 nucleotides) under Meriones unguiculatus (Mongolian gerbil). RNAcentral describes it as "7SK RNA (ENSMUGG00000026307.1)". It matches the Rfam family "7SK RNA". Rfam says of the family: 7SK was discovered as an abundant small nuclear RNA in the mid-70s but a possible function has only recently been suggested. Two independent studies have found that 7SK RNA binds the CDK9/cyclin T complex (known as elongation factor P-TEFb). The record is from RNAcentral. Lineage: Eukaryota; Metazoa; Chordata; Mammalia; Rodentia; Muridae.
GAGUUUAAAAUGUACCUGGCUAUGACAUCUGUCACCCCAUUGAUCACCAAGUUGAUUUGGCCGAUCUAGCUGGCUAGGCCGGAGUCCUUCCUCCCUCACCCACUCAUGUGUGUCACUCCAGAAGCUGCGCACUUGGUCAAAGAGGAAGAUGUUCCCUAUAUGGAGGAGGAUCUGGCUCUAGUCAAGGUGUAUGAGUAGCUGCGCUCUCUGCUAGAACCUCCAAACAAGCUCAAGGCAGUAAUUAUUGAUAAUAGGAUAUUGGUAAGAAAUAAAUCAGUUAUGAGAACGUUUAAUUCGGCAGAAGAGAAGACUCAGUGCUUCAGAUAUGUUUUUUUUUCUGU